This is a long non-coding RNA of Ixodes scapularis (black-legged tick), 500 nucleotides long. RefSeq lists it as uncharacterized. The transcript has 3 exons. Lineage: Eukaryota; Metazoa; Arthropoda; Arachnida; Ixodida; Ixodidae. The record is from RefSeq and is a predicted model, not a curated record.
GAUCAUCCUGUCGCGUUCUAAUGCCGAGAUGGUGCGGCACUGUGCGGUAGAGGACUGCGGCAACCUCCUGAUUCGGUGCGGAAAACCUAUUCACCAGUUCCCAAAGGACGAACAACUUCGUGCGCUUUGGAUCCGGCUCGCACGACCGUCCUCCCCGGCGUGGCUUCCAACUACGAGUGAUCGCUUGUGUUCCUAUCACUUUCGUGAUGAGGACUACGUGCGAAGCCCCAGGGUGAUGGAGUCCUUGGGCUUCCCGGUGAGGAACGUACAACUCAAACCAGGAGUUUUGCCCCGUUUAUUUUCAAAGAAGCGGAGAUCUGGCGAGCGCAGCGAACCCCUUGACAAGCGACGCAGAGUGGUACGUUUGGUGCGUUGGUUUCCAUUCUGCGUCCACCUGUGGCCUCCCCCACCUCUCUGAUAUGGACUGACGACGCCCGCACCCAGACAGCAGCCUUGAGAGCAAUGACUGCUGCUAGACAUCCUGUGUUUUCAGCAUCGUC